Molecule: ribosomal RNA, 253 nt
Filed under: uncultured bacterium
Lineage: Bacteria
Description: partial 16S ribosomal RNA
Rfam family: Bacterial small subunit ribosomal RNA
Source: RNAcentral
UACGGAGGGGGCAAGCGUUGUCCGGAUUUAUUGGGCGUAAAGAGCGUGUAGGCGGCCAAGCAGGUCCGCUGUGAAAACUCGAGGCUCAACCUCGAGACGUCGGUGGAAACCGUUUGGCUAGAGUCCGGAAGAGGAGAGUGGAAUUCCCGGUGUAGCGGUGAAAUGCGCAGAUAUCGGGAAGAACACCCGUGGCGAAGGCGGCUCUCUGGGACGGUACUGACGCUGAGACGCGAAAGCGUGGGGAGCGAACAGG